CUCUGCUCAGGACGAACGCUGGCGGCGUGCCUAAUACAUGCAAGUCGAGCGGACAGAUGGGAGCUUGCUCCCUGAUGUUAGCGGCGGACGGGUGAGUAACACGUGGGUAACCUGCCUGUAAGACUGGGAUAACUCCGGGAAACCGGGGCUAAUACCGGAUGGUUGUUUGAACCGCAUGGUUCAAACAUAAAAGGUGGCUUCGGCUACCACUUACAGAUGGACCCGCGGCGCAUUAGCUAGUUGGUGAGGUAACGGCUCACCAAGGCAACGAUGCGUAGCCGACCUGAGAGGGUGAUCGGCCACACUGGGACUGAGACACGGCCCAGACUCCUACGGGAGGCAGCAGUAGGGAAUCUUCCGCAAUGGACGAAAGUCUGACGGAGCAACGCCGCGUGAGUGAUGAAGGUUUUCGGAUCGUAAAGCUCUGUUGUUAGGGAAGAACAAGUACCGUUCGAAUAGGGCGGUACCUUGACGGUACCUAACCAGAAAGCCACGGCUAACUACGUGCCAGCAGCCGCGGUAAUACGUAGGUGGCAAGCGUUGUCCGGAAUUAUUGGGCGUAAAGGGCUCGCAGGCGGUUUCUUAAGUCUGAUGUGAAAGCCCCCGGCUCAACCGGGGAGGGUCAUUGGAAACUGGGGAACUUGAGUGCAGAAGAGGAGAGUGGAAUUCCACGUGUAGCGGUGAAAUGCGUAGAGAUGUGGAGGAACACCAGUGGCGAAGGCGACUCUCUGGUCUGUAACUGACGCUGAGGAGCGAAAGCGUGGGGAGCGAACAGGAUUAGAUACCCUGGUAGUCCACGCCGUAAACGAUGAGUGCUAAGUGUUAGGGGGUUUCCGCCCCUUAGUGCUGCAGCUAACGCAUUAAGCACUCCGCCUGGGAGGUUCGCCCCACGGUCC
Molecule: ribosomal RNA, 896 nt
Filed under: Bacillus subtilis
Lineage: Bacteria; Bacillati; Bacillota; Bacilli; Caryophanales; Bacillaceae
Description: bacterial SSU rRNA
Rfam family: Bacterial small subunit ribosomal RNA
Source: RNAcentral